CCCUUGCAUUUCCUUGCCAUUUUAAGUAGAUAAAAGGGGCUUACAGAUGAGACAAAAAGAUAACUGAUUGAUAAGAAAGGAGAUCAUCAUUAUCACCAUUAUCCACUUGUUUAUUCCAGGUCAUUGGAAUUCUUCAUAUAUGGUGCACAGUGUUCCUUCAGAACUAAAGGUAGAAGGUGGUUCUGUGGCUGUGAGUGGAGUGACUCAGAGGCAGAGCACAGACUUGCAAUCUUGGGACUAGCGCCUUCCAACCUCACAACUUGGUACUUUCUCAUCCGCCACAAGAUUGACUGAGGCUUCAUGGCCAAGAAACUUCUGCUGGUAAGAGCCUGGCCUCAAAACAGGAAAAUCUUAGCCGUGAGAAGUGCUUGUUUGCUGUAGAAUUUUCUCCCAUUACAGGGGUCUGAAUAGUGGAAGAGUUCUCUCUAGUGACCACAGCUGGUGCCACUCUGUCAGACACACAGCAACGUUCUUCGUGUCUUCUUCGUGACGCUGUCAUGAGAUGCACAGGCACACAGAACCAACUCGGCCCCUCCACCCCCUGCUCCCCGCCCUUGACCGCUGCAGAUCCAGCCUCAACGCCUGAGGCGCUGCCUUAGACCUGAAAUGCCCUGGCUUUCUCCUCUCCCGGUGCCGUGGAGGCUGCGCUGCCUCUGUGCUCGGGACGCCUCCCCGAAGCCGAAGCCGAGAUAUCCUCACACCUGCCCGGGCCUCUGCAGGACCUGCCUUCUCUGCCAUCAGCAAAGGAAAGGUGUUCACAGGACUAUGUGAGAAGAUUCUCCUGGCUUCCAGCGGGAAGCAGGAGUCCAUCCCCACGUGUCUGCGUGACCUGAAGUGACCCACCCUCCCUGGAGAAGCGGCCUGGCCAUAACGACCUGUGUGCCUCACACCAGAUGCUCUUUCUCCCCCCAGCCUUUCCCUGUGUGGUUCUCCCCGCCCAGAAGUCUCCUCCCCGGCCUCUUCCCCAAGCUAAGCCCUCCUCGCUCUGCAAGGCUCAGCGCGUCCCGUCCUGUAGGAAACCUUUGCUGAAGGGCCUCGAGGGGCCUCUCUCCCUGUUAUAGGACUCAGUCCCUGGGCUGUCAUGGCUUCUCUACUCUGAGGCCCCUCAGGGUAGGAAAACCUGUGUUGGUUUUAUCUCCAGCUCUUAGCUCAGUGUGUGGCACGUAGUAGGGUGUUUAUCACACAUUUAUUUAUUAAGUCACUUACUUAAGUCAGUGAGACUGCCUGCUAGCUACCGAGGCCUGUGGGAAAAAUCGGCUGAGUGGGUUAUGCAAACAAACCUACCCAGGGAAACCUCAGGACCGGCAAUGAGCAUGGCAUUGAGUUGAAUAAUGAUCGCUUUUUAAAAAAAUGACGAUGUGACACACAGAGGUACAGUUAUAAUAAUUUGCACCUGAGGGUCGUUUGAUAGGCAUGCAUAUUCCUAGAUCCCUGGAGACUCUCAAGAACAAAAUGUUUCAUCUGCAUUUUAGCAAAGCUACACUUAGAAAAAAAUAAAAUACGGAAUGUUUACAACUUGAGCUUCAGUUUUGAUCCUCAAAUCAAAACACAUGCCUCAGUCUGUCCUCAAACCACACACAGGAUCUGAAGUCCUGCCCUUUUUUCCUGGAAGCCAAAGAAACCUCAGAAUACGCUGGCAGGCAGUCCUUUUCUACCCUCUCUAGUUUUUCUUCCAUUUUACUUCUUAAAAACACAGAAUUAUCAUGAGAAGAUAAUUCAGGUUUGGGAAGAGUGGAAGGAAUACAUACAUUCAUCAAGAAAAAACCUGUUGGGUUUCUCUUUCGUGCUAGGAAACUCAGUGCCCACAAGGCCUAAUGAACUGGGGACAUGCACUGGGGUGUGUGUGUCUAUGUUUAAGGAUCUGGGUAGAAAGCUGCAAACUUUGGGACUGCAAAGCUGGCAACUUGCUACUGCAUAAAAAUUCCAGACCGAUAGAGAUCUAGGAGUAACACUUGCUGUAAUAGCACACAGCAUUUUCGCUGGCUUUUACUCUUAACUCAUUAGCACAAAUUCUCUGGAAAACAGUGGCAGAGCCAUCCUCCCUCACCCGAGAGACUCCCCGUCUUUGGAGGUAGACCUCUGCUUGGAGGUGGCCUUCCCAUGAGGAAAACAAACAUGAAACACAGAAGGGUCACGAGCAGUCUGUUUUCUCACAGGCUCCCCUUUACUGGAAAGUGUUUCCUUGAGAACAUCACGGCUUUAGGUGUUAUACCUGAAGUGGGGCCCCCUCCUUCAAGGACCCUAAGCCCAGUUCUCCAGGAUAAUCUGACAAUAAUACCUUUUCUAUAAAAGCACUUUGGCAUCACCCCUUGGCCUGCGCUACUUCCUCCUCCUCCUCCCUCGUCUUGAUUCCAACAUCCUUUAAGGUCUGCUCCAAAUCUCACCAGCCCACCAUGCUAACUAAGCCUUCCCUGAUGACUUGAUCCCACACCAGUGGAAUGUUUGUCUGAAUGGCAAUAAAAAGGGCCUCUGUUGAUUGAGUGCCUAUUCUUUGCA
This is a long non-coding RNA of Camelus dromedarius (Arabian camel), 2496 nucleotides long. RefSeq lists it as uncharacterized. The record is from RefSeq and is a predicted model, not a curated record. The transcript has 4 exons. NCBI's taxonomy places the organism in Eukaryota, Metazoa, Chordata, Mammalia, Artiodactyla, Camelidae.